Molecule: ribosomal RNA, 253 nt
Filed under: uncultured bacterium
Lineage: Bacteria
Description: partial 16S ribosomal RNA
Rfam family: Bacterial small subunit ribosomal RNA
Source: RNAcentral
UACGUAGGGUGCAAGCGUUGUCCGGAAUUAUUGGGCGUAAAGAGCGUGUAGGCGGCCCGAUUAGUCCGCUGUGAAAGUCCAGGGCUCAACCCUGGAAUGCCGGUGGAUACUGUCGGGCUAGAGUCCGGAAGGGGCGAGUGGAAUUCCUGGUGUAGCGGUGAAAUGCGCAGAUAUCAGGAGGAACACCGGUGGCGAAGGCGGGUCUCUGGGCAGUAACUGACGCUGAGGAGCGAAAGCGUGGGGAGCGAACAGG